CCUACGGGUGGCAGCAGUGGGGGAUAUUGCACAAUGGGGGGAACCCUGAUGCAGCGACGCCGCGUGGGUGAAGGAGUGUUUCGGCGCGUAAAGCCCUAUCAGCAGGGAAGAAGAUGACGGUACCUGGCCAAGAAGCCCCGGCUAACUACGUGCCAGCAGCCGCGGUAAUACGUAGGGGGCAAGCGUUAUCCGGAUUUACUGGGUGUAAAGGGGGCGCAGACGGCAAUGCAAGCCUGGAGUGAAAGCCCGGGGCGCAACCCCGGGACUGCUUUUGAAACUGUAUGGCUGGAGUACAGGAGGGGUAAGCGGAAUUCCUAGUGUAGCGGUGAAAUGCGUAGAUAUUAGGAGGAACACCGGUGGCGAAGGCGGCUUGCUGGACUGUGACUGACGUUGAGGCUCGAAGGCGUGGGGAGCAAACAGGAUUAGAUACCCGUGUAGUC
Molecule: ribosomal RNA, 440 nt
Filed under: uncultured bacterium
Lineage: Bacteria
Description: partial 16S ribosomal RNA
Rfam family: Bacterial small subunit ribosomal RNA
Source: RNAcentral